AUCGACGGGAGCUUGCUCCCUUAGGUCAGCGGCGGACGGGUGAGUAACACGUGGGUAACCUGCCUGUAAGACUGGGAUAACUCCGGGAAACCGGGGCUAAUACCGGAUGCUUGAUUGAACCGCAUGGUUCAAUCAUAAAAGGUGGCUUUUAGCUACCACUUACAGAUGGACCCGCGGCGCAUUAGCUAGUUGGUGAGGUAACGGCUCACCAAGGCGACGAUGCGUAGCCGACCUGAGAGGGUGAUCGGCCACACUGGGACUGAGACACGGCCCAGACUCCUACGGGAGGCAGCAGUAGGGAAUCUUCCGCAAUGGACGAAAGUCUGACGGAGCAACGCCGCGUGAGUGAUGAAGGUUUUCGGAUCGUAAAACUCUGUUGUUAGGGAAGAACAAGUACCGUUCGAAUAGGGCGGCACCUUGACGGUACCUAACCAGAAAGCCACGGCUAACUACGUGCCAGCAGCCGCGGUAAUACGUAGGUGGCAAGCGUUGUCCGGAAUUAUUGGGCGUAAAGCGCGCGCAGGCGGUUUCUUAAGUCUGAUGUGAAAGCCCCCGGCUCAACCGGGGAGGGUCAUUGGAAACUGGGGAACUUGAAUGCAGAAAAGGAGAGUGGAAUUCCACGUGUAGCGGUGAAAUGCGUAAAGAUGUGGAGGAACACCA
Molecule: ribosomal RNA, 660 nt
Filed under: Bacillus sonorensis
Lineage: Bacteria; Bacillati; Bacillota; Bacilli; Caryophanales; Bacillaceae
Description: bacterial SSU rRNA
Rfam family: Bacterial small subunit ribosomal RNA
Source: RNAcentral